CUGGAGCUAUGCAUUUUUAUUCUUGACCAGAUACUCAUACAUCUGCUUGCACUUUUUCUAAACCAGAAGCGAACUGCUGUCUGAACUGAACUCUGCAGUGCACUCUGGGAAAGCAGUCCCCUGUCUGAGGAGCCCGGGUUGGCAGAAGAGCAGUCAGGGCAGGAAUCUACAGCCUCUCUCCACUGUGGAAUCUUACAAACCACAGAGCCUUACCUCCAGUAACACAGAACAUACCAGCUUCUCACACCAAGGUGGGGCAGAAAGGCUGACACACUCCGACACAGCCACAUAUUCCAGCUGGACUCGGCAGCCCCCGACUUGCCUUGGAAAGGGGGCAGGGAGCUGCAAGUCCAUCAUGGACAAGGCAAGCUCGGAGGGGCCUGACCCUGACUUGAACGAUUUUGCGGAUGCCUCAGUUUUUGAUUAUUCCUCCAUCACCUCCUCCAGUCCCGACUGGACCACUGGGGAGGAAGAUGGCGUCUGGGGCAAAGGUGACCUUGGUGUGCUUGAGGAUAAAGCUGAAGAGCAGGUGUCAUUGAGGACACAUUCCUUCAAGCCAGUAAGGGCCUCUCAAAGAGAAGCCUCCCCAAUGUGCAGAGAAUCUGGGGCUCCGUACACUGAAGGACAUAUGUUUGAAUAUUCUGACGAGCUGCCUACAGGGGGCAUUGGCCCAGAGAACUCCAAACAGGCAGAUCCUGCUUUGGCAAGGGCCAAGUUGAGUAAACUCCACAAAGCAGCGAGGGAUCCUGGGAGAUCAUCUUCACCCAGGUGUCAACAAAGCAGAGUGGACCUCAGGUCUUUCCAGGAGGACGCUGUCUUGAAAGCUCAGGGCAUUACCUACAGACGAAGGGAUCCAAAAUGUAAGAGAUCUGCCCCACAUGGACCACCGGAUGACUGUGAAUGCAGCCGGGACAGUGAGGACCCAUGCAGCACUGUGUGACUGAGAUGCAAACUAGCUCUUCUCUCAGGGUCAGCAGUCGAGAAGAGCAGAGCAAGGACAAAAGCUGUUACCUACAGCUUUAAUACCUAUUUAAUAUGAAAUACCUUGAGCUUUUACAAGUUGGGAUUCUGUUUCCCUGCAAUUACUUUUGAACUAGUUGCCACUAUGAGUUAAGGUUAAAUAUUCCUCAUCAGUCUUUGUUUUGCAUUCAUGAUCUUACACGUGCCAGUAAGAUCAAAAGUCCUGCACAUCUGUUGAACUAUAGCGGACUGACAUUUGUCUCUAACACUCUACCUGCACUAAAGCAAUAAACUUGUAGCACCUAAGAAAAACAUUCAGAAUAAAUUUAAGUGACUAUGUUAGAGACUGUAAC
RNAcentral lists this long non-coding RNA (1313 nucleotides) under Lepisosteus oculatus (spotted gar). Its description in RNAcentral is "lncRNA (ENSLOCG00000022078.1)". The record is from RNAcentral. Lineage: Eukaryota; Metazoa; Chordata; Actinopteri; Semionotiformes; Lepisosteidae.